Molecule: unclassified non-coding RNA, 348 nt
Filed under: uncultured fungus
Lineage: Eukaryota; Fungi
Description: sequence contains ITS2
Rfam family: 5.8S ribosomal RNA (bases 1-52)
Source: RNAcentral
AACGCAUAUUGCGCUCUCUGGUAUUCCGGAGAGCAUGCUUGUUUGAGUAUCAGUAAACACCUCAGACUCUAUGAUUUGAUUAUUAUAGAGCUUGGAUUUGAAUGAUCCCAACACAAUUUUUUUUUUAAAAUUGUGGCGGGUUAUUUGAAAUGCAGGUGCAGCUGGACUUUCUUCUGAGCUAUAAGCAUAUUUAUUUAGUCCCGUAACAAGGAUUAUUACUUUUUGCUGCAGCUAACAUAAAGGUUGAUUGUUUCCUCAUGCUGACUGAUGCAGGAAUUUUGUAGGGAGAGUCAAAUCUCAUCUACUAAACUCGAUCUCAAAUCAAGUAAGACUACCCGCUGAACUUAA